Hemibagrus wyckioides is the source of this 1181-nucleotide long non-coding RNA. RefSeq lists it as uncharacterized. The transcript has 3 exons. The record is from RefSeq and is a predicted model, not a curated record. Lineage: Eukaryota; Metazoa; Chordata; Actinopteri; Siluriformes; Bagridae.
GUCUAUUAGCGUUAAUACUAAAUCGUCUGUUUUGUGUAAUUUUUGAAAAUGAUAAAUCUGUUUGUCAUCGUGUAAUAUUUCUGUAGUCAACUACAUUGUCCUGUAGUUUUAAAAAGGCGAAACGAACAAAAUGAAUGCGAGUGAUAUGGAAACCUCACUAGUGUUUAUAUUUUUAUUCACGAGACGCUUGGCGGUUACCGUAAAACUCUGCAUAGAGUCGCGCACACUUGUAUAAACGCUAGAUGAAGCUAAAGCUAAAGCGGGCCAUUUAAAAGGAAAGGAGCUCGCAUCCUGGCAGCCGUGAAAAUACGAGCAAUAAGAAACAUUUUGAGUCUGUUUUAUCAUGACAAGCGUUAGGUCAUGCUAUUGUUUUUUGUAAUCAACGCACUCAAGACUCUCUCAAAUAGAGUGUGAAACUGAAACAUCUGACCGUCGUUAUCACUAAAUCACCUACUAUCCCUGCUCCGCUGAUGAGCCCUGCUUGAAAAAUCCUCUUGCCAUCUAAACCAGCACUUCCAGACAGGAAAGUUCUCCUGACAGACCAUAUUUUAUCAUCUGGUCCUGAUGGAAGUGGUUUCUUCCAGGAUGAUUCCGCCCCCUUCCACAGGACACAAGGAAUCGCCGAACGAUUUGAGGAGGAGGACAAAAAAUGAGCUACGCUUUAGCUUUCACAGUCACAAGACCUCAAUCCAAUCAAACACCUCUGGGUGAUGUGUACUGCUGUUAUAGAAAAUUUAUCAACACUUUCUGACUUUCUGACUGAUCAGAAACUUUUUUCUAUGAAUAACCAGUCUCUCAAAGGUGAUUUGAGGCCAGAGUGGAGGUGGCAAAUGGGGUAGUAGUUGGCAUCCAUGGGGCUAUGUCAGCAAUGUAAUUAUGUAGAAUUUUUAUUCACGUAUUUAUCUAUUUUGUAUUCACAUAAGACUAGAAGCCUUGACUAAUGGUGCAUGCCCAAAUUGCAUACUUUUGCUCUAUACUGUGCCAUUGUGUAAUAUGAAUUGUGUGAGUCAUGUAUUCACUCUAAAAAUUCCAACAAGAUGAUGCACUUAUUCAACAAGGAAAAAAAAUGAAGUGUGGAAUGUUCAUGAACAUUGAGUGGAGUACUUCAUGAACUCAACACUCCCAGCUUUGCGUCAUGAAGGGCAGGGCUACCCAGGUUCUGGUGAUGGAUGGGAAUAAAA